CCCCGAGCUGCUCGCCCGCAACGGCGUCAAGUUCGGCGAGGCCGUCUGGUUCAAGGCCGGCUCCCAGAUCUUUAGCGAGGGCGGCCUCGACUACCUCGGCAACCCCAGCCUUAUCCAUGCGCAGAGCAUCCUCGCCAUCUGGGCCUGCCAGGUCGUGCUCAUGGGCGCCGUCGAGGGCUACCGCAUUGCCGGCGGCCCACUCGGCGAGGUCGUCGACCCGCUCUACCCCGGCGGCAGCUUCGACCCCCUCGGCCUGGCCGACGACCCUGAGGCCUUCGCCGAGCUCAAGGUCAAGGAGCUCAAGAAUGGCCGCCUCGCCAUGUUCUCCAUGUUCGGAUUCUUCGUCCAGGCCAUCGUCACCGGCAAGGGCCCGCUCGAGAACCUGGCCGACCACCUCGCCGACCCAGUCAACAACAACGCCUGGGCCUACGCCACCAACUUCGUCCCCGGCAACUAAGCUCGCCAUUCGCCUCUGCAACUCCAUUGUCUUCCGGCCGGGAGGGGCGUACGUGGAUUGGUUGAUGCUGCAAGCGAGCUGCCGC
RNAcentral lists this long non-coding RNA (542 nucleotides) under Setaria italica (foxtail millet). Its description in RNAcentral is "long non-coding RNA (SITA_LNC001525)". The record is from RNAcentral. Lineage: Eukaryota; Viridiplantae; Streptophyta; Magnoliopsida; Poales; Poaceae.